AGGAUUGUUCAGUGUGGAUACAGUGAGGAAAUUGCUGAACGGGUUAUAUUGAGGAGUGGCCUCUAUCAUGGUACCAAGGAUACCGUAUCAAAUAUUGUUGAUGGUGCUUUGGCUUUACUGAGUAGGGAAAAGGAUUUUGAUACCUCUAGACAUCUCAGAUACCGUCUCAAAUAUUGUUGAUGGUGCUUUGGCUUUACUGAGUAGGGAAAAGGAUUUUGAUACCUCUAGACAUCUCACGUUUUCUGAUUUACAUGGGCUGGUAGAGUACACCAUGCUGGAGAUGAUAUGUGUGCUGAGGGAGGUUAAGCCAGCUUUCACAGUUGCUGAAGCAAUGUGGUGCCUCUUAAUAUGGGACUUGAAC
Molecule: long non-coding RNA, 361 nt
Filed under: Nicotiana benthamiana
Lineage: Eukaryota; Viridiplantae; Streptophyta; Magnoliopsida; Solanales; Solanaceae
Description: long non-coding RNA (NBEN_LNC039002)
Source: RNAcentral